This is a non-coding RNA of Pantherophis guttatus, 1043 nucleotides long. The record is from RefSeq and is a predicted model, not a curated record. NCBI's taxonomy places the organism in Eukaryota, Metazoa, Chordata, Lepidosauria, Squamata, Colubridae.
CAUUUGUGCUGUGCAGUCAUCGGGGAAGGAUCUCUCAGCCAGAGCUCUCGCUCGUAGGCCCCAUUCGCUUGGGCAGAGGGUCGGUUCUGGUCUGGAAGCCUCUGGGAGAUCGAAAGGGUCUCGAAUCAUCAUGUGGUCUUCCAGGAUGCCUCUCCGGAUCGUCGUUUGAUGUUGAAGACCUGCAGCGAAGUGACGGACAUCAGGGAAGCAUGGCUCCGCGUUGCAUUCAUCGAGGGGGAGCGGAUUGAAGAUGUCGCCUGUCGCAGGAUCGGGAUGUCUCUUCGGUGUCUGUAGGAUUGGAGAAGCAGAGGAAGAACCAAGAAUCAGGGAGGGUUCGAUAUAUAUACAGGGAGGAGUGGUCAGAGGUUUGAAAGGAAACUACAGCCACCUAUCGCCACAACCCCCAUCUCAGACACACCAACAGCCAAGCCUCCUACAACUGACCCCAUCUCAGACACACCAACAACAGCCAAACCUCCUACAACUGUUCCCAUCCCAUUGGGUUCACAACCCCUAGUGAACACAGAGCCACUGUUAGACCCCUUGCAAUUUGCAUACUGAGCAAAUAGAUCAACAGAUGAUGCUGUUAAUAUGGCUCUGCACUACAUCCUACAACAUCUUGAAUCUCCAAAGACCUAUGCAAGGGUCCUCUUUGUAGACUUUAGUUCAGCAUUCAAUACCAUCAUUCCAGAUAUUCUUCUAACUAAGCUAAACCAGCUAGCGGCACCUGAACACACCUGUAAGUCAUAAGUUUCCUAACAGAAAGGAAGAAGCAGGUGAAGCUAAGCAGAAUCACAUCAGAUACCUGUACAAUUAGCACAGGGGCCCCCCAAGGCUAUGUGCUUUCUCCACUUCUCUUCUCUCUAUAUACCAAUGACUGCAUCUCAAAUGAUCCAUCUGUUAAACUACUGAAGUUCACAGAUGACACAACAGUGGUCGGUCUCAUUUGAGAUAAUGAGGAAUCCGUAUACAGACGGGAAGUUAAAAAACUAGCCUAAUGGUGCAACCAGAACAAUUUGGAACAGAGCACACUCAAAACUGUA